GCUUAUUUUUUAGUAUUGUGAAGAUUUUUUUCCACCCUUUAUGGAACUAGACUUGGAAUCUGCCUCUCCACAUGCCUCCCCACAAGCCUCUCCUGUGCAGUUAAAUCGGUCUUCAUCUAUUGACUCCACUGAUUCACAGGACACGGUGAUUAUUGAAGAAAGCUCUUCAAGUAAAAGAAUGAGGCUAGAUCAUGAAGCUAAAAAGGUGAGCAUCAAAUUGUUGUUAUUUAUUGGGGAAAAGAUAUAAUUCAUCAAUCUUAAAAAAAAACAAAACAUAUUUAAACAAAAAUUAAGGUUAUGCUUUGUUCUUAAAAUGCCAUAUUCAUGCUUUGUUUUGUUUGUUUGUUGGUGGAAUCCAUUCUUGUCCAGAAACCUGGUGGGGAGCGUGUAAUAAAUGAAUACAACCGAACUAAAACUUUGGGGGAUGAAACGAGAAGGAAAAUGGUGAACAUCCUGGCAGCUGACAUGACAGAAAAGAAUGGUACAUCACCACCACGGCAGGUUAAAGAAAAAUACGCCAGAGGAAUUGUGGCUUUGUUCCCUUACCUCAGUGACCCCUUCUCUAAAAAUGGCUAUGAGCAUUACUAUGACGGUGAGAGUGGCACUGGGUACUUGGCAUGGAGAAUCAAAACUAUACAGAGAGGCUUGGCUAAAGAACGGCGAGCAUCAUUUGAAGGUACAGAAUGAAAUUCAGAAAUCGCCUGUUUUAUUUAUUCUUUUUUUUUUUUUUUUUUUUCCCCAUAGCUCAUUGUGCCAUAUUUCACAGCAGUUUUGUUGCUACUGAGUUGUCUUAAAGGGAUAGUUUACCCAAAAAUGAAAAUUUGAUGUUUAUCUGCUUACCCCCAGGGCAUCCAAGAUGUAGGUGACUUUGUUUCUUCAGUAGAACACAAAUGAUGAUUUUUAACUCCAACUGUUGCCGUCUGUCGCUCAAAUAAUGCAUUGAAAUGGUAACACAAUCUGUAAGAGUCAAACACGACAGACAAAUCCAAAUUAAACCCUGCGGCUCGUGACGACACAUUGAUGUCCUAAGACGAGAAACAAUUGGUAUGUGCGAGAAACCGAACAGUAUUUAUAUAAU
This is a long non-coding RNA of Ctenopharyngodon idella (grass carp), 1078 nucleotides long. RefSeq lists it as uncharacterized. The record is from RefSeq and is a predicted model, not a curated record. The transcript is spliced from 3 exons. Lineage: Eukaryota; Metazoa; Chordata; Actinopteri; Cypriniformes; Xenocyprididae.